RNAcentral lists this ribosomal RNA (491 nucleotides) under uncultured bacterium. RNAcentral's name for it is "partial 16S ribosomal RNA". It matches the Rfam family "Bacterial small subunit ribosomal RNA", at positions 29 to 506 of the family's 1533-position model. The record is from RNAcentral.
AGUGAACGCUGGCGGUAGGCCUAACACAUGCAAGUCGAACGGCAGCACAGUAAGGGCUUGCUCUUACGGGUGGCGAGUGGCGGACGGGUGAGGAAUACAUCGGAAUCUACUUUUUCGUGGGGGAUAACGUAGGGAAACUUGCGCUAAUACCGCAUACGACCUACGGGUGAAAGCAGGGGAUCUUCGGACCUUGCGCGAUUGAAUGAGCCGAUGUCGGAUUAGCUAGUUGGCGGGGUAAAGGCCCACCAAGGCGACGAUCCGUAGCUGGUCUGAGAGGAUGAUCAGCCACACUGGAACUGAGACACGGUCCAGACUCCUACGGGAGGCAGCAGUGGGGAAUAUUGGACAAUGGGCGCAAGCCUGAUCCAGCCAUACCGCGUGGGUGAAGAAGGCCUUCGGGUUGUAAAGCCCUUUUGUUGGGAAAGAAAAGCAGCAGGUUAAUACCCCGCUGUUCUGACGGUACCCAAAGAAUAAGCACCGGCUAACUUCGU